GCCUUCGUGCUGUAGUGGUCAGCAUUCUGGGCGCGUAAUCCAGAAGUUUGUGGUUCGAGUCCUAGCGAAGGCG
This 73-nucleotide transfer RNA is filed under the name Stegodyphus mimosarum. It matches the Rfam family "tRNA". Rfam says of the family: Transfer RNA (tRNA) molecules are approximately 80 nucleotides in length. Their secondary structure includes four short double-helical elements and three loops (D, anti-codon, and T loops). The record is from Rfam by way of RNAcentral. Lineage: Eukaryota; Metazoa; Arthropoda; Arachnida; Araneae; Eresidae.